Molecule: long non-coding RNA, 777 nt
Filed under: Equus caballus (horse)
Lineage: Eukaryota; Metazoa; Chordata; Mammalia; Perissodactyla; Equidae
Description: lncRNA (ENSECAG00000036707.2)
Source: RNAcentral
AAGCUGGAAUGUCCUGGCAUGAGCUGGGAGCUACGAAGAUGGACUGAAACUUGGGUGAGUUCUUAUUGCCUUUGACCUUGAGGUUAUCCCUCAGAGGCUAGAAUCCUUUGUCUCAGAGCUAGGCCUACAUACUUGGUCCAGUAUUCAGGGGAAGUUGCAGUAAUUGCAAGCCCAGCAAUAGUCUCACAACAACAAGCCCACCCUAACCAGAAACAUGCAGGAAAUGGAAUUCAGUCUAGCUGCGAUGACACCUUAUAAAUCCAUCACAGUCUAUAAUCCCAUAUUCUGAGUGCAUGCUUCUUUUCACAUGAGUUGGACAAGAAGAGAUACAUGGUGCAAAGUAAAUUCAUUCUUUCUAAGGAAGAUACCAUCAUUUCAUGAUGCAAACUUUACCUCCUUUACUGUUGAGAGGCCACCUCCCUGUAGCAUUUUGGGCUGAUCCUGGUGGUUUCAGCCACAUGGGGGCAACCAAGUUUCUACCCCCUAUCUGAGGAGUUUAUACAAAUAUCACCAGCAAAGGGCUAUGAAGAAGUGAAUAUUCCCUGGAGUUCUGGACCUGCAGAGCACAGUUCCUGCCCAGUGACACCAUCAGAGACUGAAAGGAGUGAGGAAAGUCUCAGAGAAGGUCAGUGGGAGGAAAAUUCAAACCUGUGGCCAAGCUCAGGAGCUCCAGAGGGCAUCCCUGUACCACGAGAGUUUGUGCUCAGAAUGACGGCCCUGAGUCAUCCAGAGAAGUGCAAGGUGCUCUCUCCAUCCUCUCUUUCCUGAAGACAAAAA